UACGAAGGGUGCAAGCGUUACUCGGAAUUACUGGGCGUAAAGCGUGCGUAGGUGGUGAGUUAAGUCUGUCGUGAAAGCCCCGGGCUCAACCUGGGAAUGGCGAUGGAUACUGGAUGGCUUGAGUUCGGGAGAGGGAUGCGGAAUUCCAGGUGUAGCGGUGAAAUGCGUAGAUAUCAGGAAGAACACCCGUGGCGAAGGCGGCUCUCUGGGACGGUACUGACGCUGAGACGCGAAAGCGUGGGGAGCGAACAGG
RNAcentral lists this ribosomal RNA (253 nucleotides) under uncultured bacterium. Its description in RNAcentral is "partial 16S ribosomal RNA". It matches the Rfam family "Bacterial small subunit ribosomal RNA", at positions 524 to 776 of the family's 1533-position model. The record is from RNAcentral.